This 570-nucleotide ribosomal RNA is filed under the name uncultured bacterium. RNAcentral describes it as "partial 16S ribosomal RNA". It matches the Rfam family "Bacterial small subunit ribosomal RNA", at positions 355 to 914 of the family's 1533-position model. The record is from RNAcentral.
UGGGGAAUCUUCCGCAAUGGACGAAAGUCUGACGGAGCAACGCCGCGUGAGUGAAGAAGGUUUUCGGAUCGUAAAACUCUGUCUUUUGGGGCGAACGUGAGUAUGGUGAACAAUCAUAGUCAGUGACGGUACCAAAGGAGGAAGCCACGGCUAACUACGUGCCAGCAGCCGCGGUAAUCGUAGGUGGCAAGCGUUGUCCGGAAUUAUUGGGCGUAAAGAGCGCGUAGGCGGGAUAGUCAGUCUGUUGUAAAGUGCGGGGCUCAACCCCGUGAUGGCAAUGGAAACAGCUAUUCUUGAGUGCAGGAGAGGAAAGUGGAAUUCCCAGUGUAGCGGUGAAAUGCGUAGAUAUUGGGAGGAACACCAGUGGCGAAGGCGACUUUCUGGACUGUGUCUGACGCUGAGGCGCGAAAGCCAGGGGAGCGAACGGGAUUAGAUACCCCCGGUAGUCCUGGCCGUAAACGAUGGGUACUAGGUGUGGGAGGUAUCGACCCCCUUCCGUGCCGGAGUUAACGCAAUAAGUACCCCCGCCUGGGGAGUACGGUCGCAAGACUGAAACUUAAAUGAAUUGAC